Pteronotus mesoamericanus is the source of this 107-nucleotide small nuclear RNA. The record is from RefSeq and is a predicted model, not a curated record. NCBI's taxonomy places the organism in Eukaryota, Metazoa, Chordata, Mammalia, Chiroptera, Mormoopidae.
GUGCUCACUUUGGCAGUACAUAUACUAAAAUUAGAACAAUACAGGGAGAAUUAGCAUGGCACCUGUGCAAGGAUGACACGCAAAUUUGUGAAGUGAAAAAAAAUAAU